Molecule: ribosomal RNA, 204 nt
Filed under: uncultured bacterium
Lineage: Bacteria
Description: partial 16S ribosomal RNA
Rfam family: Bacterial small subunit ribosomal RNA
Source: RNAcentral
UACGAAGGGGGCUAGCGUUGCUCGGAAUCACUGGGCGUAAAGGGUGCGUAGGCGGGUCUUUAAGUCAGGGGUGAAAUCCUGGAGCUCAACUCCAGAACUGCCUUUGAUACUGAGGAUCUUGAGUCCGGGAGAGGUGAGUGGAACUGCGAGUGUAGAGGUGAAAUUCGUAGAUAUUCGCAAGGAACACCAGUGGCGAAGGCGGCU